CCUACGGGAGGCAGCAGUAGGGAAUCUUGCGCAAUGGGCGAAAGCCUGACGCAGCCAUGCCGCGUGAAUGAUGAAGGUCUUAGGAUUGUAAAAUUCUUUCAGCGGGGAAGAUAAUGACGGUACCCGCAGAGGAAGCUCCGGCUAACUUCGUGCCAGCAGCCGCGGUAAUACGAAGGGGGCUAGCGUUGCUCGGAAUUACUGGGCGUAAAGGGCGCGUAGGCGGGUGUUUAAGUCAGGGGUCAAAUCCCAGAGCUCAACUCUGGAACUGCCUUUGAUACUGGACACCUAGAGUACAGGAGAGGUGUGUGGAACUCCGAGUGUAGAGGUGAAAUUCGUAGAUAUUCGGAAGAACACCAGUGGCGAAGGCGACACACUGGCCCGUUACUGACGCUGAUGCGCGAAAGCGUGGGGAGCAAACAGGAUUAGAUACCCUGGUAGUCCACGCCGUAAACGAUGAGUGCUAGUUGUCGGCAUGCAUGCAUGUCGGUGACGCAGCUAACGCAUUAAGCACUCCGCCUGGGGAGUACGGUCGCAAGAUUAAAACUCAAAGGAAUUGACGG
Molecule: ribosomal RNA, 560 nt
Filed under: uncultured bacterium
Lineage: Bacteria
Description: bacterial SSU rRNA
Rfam family: Bacterial small subunit ribosomal RNA
Source: RNAcentral